UAACAAAAAAAAAAAAAAAAAUCUUUCAAAAUAUAGUUUCAUGUUUUCUUUUGACCAUUCAUGAUCAAUUAAUGAAUGAUCCUUUGAUUUAUCAUGGGGCAUUCAUAAUUUGUUCACCAUUUUCUGUCUAAAGGGCUAAUGUGGUAAAUUUCAAAGACUUAUAUGUAAAAUGAAGUUCUUUAUGUUCUAACUGCUAAUCAUUUUGAUGGAACAAUACUCUUUUUCCCCUUAUUUGGAAACUAGAAUUUCAAUUCAGUUGAUUUUUUUAAGUCAAUUCUUAUAUUUGAAAUGAAAAACUUUAAUUUUUUUUUAAACUUAAAAAAAUU
Molecule: unclassified non-coding RNA, 326 nt
Filed under: Hevea brasiliensis (rubber tree)
Lineage: Eukaryota; Viridiplantae; Streptophyta; Magnoliopsida; Malpighiales; Euphorbiaceae
Source: RNAcentral